RNAcentral lists this ribosomal RNA (471 nucleotides) under uncultured Arenimonas sp. RNAcentral's name for it is "bacterial SSU rRNA". It matches the Rfam family "Bacterial small subunit ribosomal RNA", at positions 335 to 798 of the family's 1533-position model. The record is from RNAcentral. Lineage: Bacteria; Pseudomonadati; Pseudomonadota; Gammaproteobacteria; Lysobacterales; Lysobacteraceae.
UCUCCUACGGGGGGCUGCAGUGGGGAAUAUUGGACAAUGGGCGCAAGCCUGAUCCAGCCAUGCCGCGUGUGUGAAGAAGGCCUUCGGGUUGUAAAGCACUUUUGCCCGGGAAGAAAUCUUCCAGGUUAAUACCCUGGGAGGCUGACGGUACCGGAAGAAUAAGCACCGGCUAACUUCGUGCCAGCAGCCGCGGUAAUACGAAGGGUGCAAGCGUUACUCGGAAUUACUGGGGGUAAAGCGUGCGUAGGUGGGUCGUUAAGUCUGCCGUGAAAGACCCGAGCUCAACCUGGGAAUUGCGGUGGAUACUGGCGGGCUAGAGUGCGGUAGAGGGUGGUGGAAUUCCCGGUGUAGCAGUGAAAUGCGUAGAGAUCGGGAGGAACAUCUGUGGCGAAGGCGGCCACCUGGACCAGCACUGACACUGAGGCACGAAAGCGUGGGGAGCAAACAGGAUUAGAUACCCGAGUAGUCCGA